CCCUUAGAUGUUCUGGGCUGCACGCGCGCUACACUGAAGCGUUCAACGAGUAUUCACCUUGCCCGGGAGGGUUGGGUAAUCUUUUGAAAACGCUUCGUGAUGGGGAUAGAUUAUUGCAAUUAUUAAUCUUCAACGAGGAAUUCCUAGUAAGCGCGAGUCAUCAGCUCGUGCUGAUUACGUCCCUGCCCUUUGUACACACCGCCCGUCGCUCCUACCGAUUGAAUGGUCCGGUGAAGCGUUCGGACCGUGGCCUUUGGACGGUUCGCCGUCUGUUGGCUGCGGGAAGUUCGUUAAACCUUAUCAUUUAGAGGAAGGAGAANUCGUANCA
RNAcentral lists this ribosomal RNA (328 nucleotides) under uncultured eukaryote. Its description in RNAcentral is "partial 18S ribosomal RNA". It matches the Rfam family "Eukaryotic small subunit ribosomal RNA", at positions 1470 to 1796 of the family's 1831-position model. The record is from RNAcentral.